This 478-nucleotide ribosomal RNA is filed under the name uncultured bacterium. RNAcentral describes it as "partial 16S ribosomal RNA". It matches the Rfam family "Bacterial small subunit ribosomal RNA", at positions 28 to 523 of the family's 1533-position model. The record is from RNAcentral.
GACGAACGCUGGCGGCGUGCUUAACACAUGCAAGUCGAACGGUAAGGCCCUUCGGGGUACACGAGUGGCGAACGGGUGAGUAACACGUGGGUGAUCUGCCCUGCACUUCGGGAUAAGCCUGGGAAACUGGGUCUAAUACCGGAUAGGACCACUGCCUGCAUGGGCGGUGGUGGAAGGCUUUUGCGGUGUGGGAUGGGCCCGAGGCCUAUCAGCUUGUUGGUGGGGUGAUGGCCUACCAAGGCGACGACGGGUAGCCGGCCUGAGAGGGUGACCGGCCACACUGGGACUGAGAUACGGCCCAGACUCCUACGGGAGGCAGCAGUGGGGAAUAUUGCACAAUGGGCGCAAGCCUGAUGCAGCGACGCCGCGUGAGGGAUGACGGCCUUCGGGUUGUAAACCUCUUUCAGCACCGACGAAGCGCAAGUGACGGUAGGUGCAGAAGAAGGACCGGCCAACUACGUGCCAGCAGCCGCAGUAA